RNAcentral lists this ribosomal RNA (301 nucleotides) under uncultured bacterium. RNAcentral's name for it is "partial 16S ribosomal RNA". It matches the Rfam family "Bacterial small subunit ribosomal RNA", at positions 509 to 807 of the family's 1533-position model. The record is from RNAcentral.
CAGUAGCCGCGGGAAUACGAAGGGGGCUAGCGUUGUUCGGAUUUACUGGGCGUAAAGGGCGCGUAGGCGGGCGAAUAAGUCAGGGGUGAAAUCCCAAGGCUCAACCUUGGAACUGCCUUUGAUACUGUUUGUCUUGAGUUCGAGAGAGGUAAGUGGAACUGCGAGUGUAGAGGUGAAAUUCGCAGAUAUUCGCAAGAACACCAGUGGCGAAGGCGGCUUACUGGCUCGAAACUGACGCUGAGGCGCGAAAGCGUGGGGAGCAAACAGGAUUAGAUACCCCCGUAGUCCCUGUCUCUUAUAC